Melanotaenia boesemani (Boeseman's rainbowfish) is the source of this 580-nucleotide long non-coding RNA. RefSeq lists it as uncharacterized. The transcript has 3 exons. NCBI's taxonomy places the organism in Eukaryota, Metazoa, Chordata, Actinopteri, Atheriniformes, Melanotaeniidae. The record is from RefSeq and is a predicted model, not a curated record.
UAAACUAAGGUCAUAGUUGACGAUCAUUAAAUAAUUCAGAGCCUAAUGUCAGUAGGUUUGGUAGUUAUUUACAUAUGUCUAGGUGGGAUCUCUAUAAUUGGUCAAUUAGGCACAUUUGACCCCAUGCUAAUUAUACUAAUUAUGCUAAUUUAUACCUCUGUCAUUAUUUUGUAUUCCAGGAGGUGUCAGCAAAGCAACUGCAAGCGCAGACGAGUGAAAAAGUCUGUUCGGUACAAGUCAAUUUUCACAAGAUCGAAGAUUUCUCUAUUUAAUUGGAUGAGAUUUGUGUACAGAUUCUCUCAAGGACUGAAGUUGCGCCAGCUUGAUUUAAUGAUGGACAAUGUUGCUGGGUCCUCAAGAACCCUUUCAAGAAUGGCAAAGCAACUGAGGGAGGUCUGCGUGACGGCUAUAGAGAGACUGCGUCGGAGAAAAGGACAGCGAAUCGGGGGACGGAGGCGUUUUGUGGUGAUAGAUGAGAGUCACUUCAGACAUAAAAGAAAGUAUGGAAGGGGCAGGUUUUCCGGUGGCUGGAAGUGGAGGAAAUGGGUGUUCGGGAUGCUGGAGGUGCACUGCUUUAAAA